AUUGAACGCUGGCGGCAUGCCUUACACAUGCAAGUCGAACGGCAGCACGGGAGCAAUCCUGGUGGCGAGUGGCGAACGGGUGAGUAAUAUAUCGGAACGUGCCCAGUAGUGGGGGAUAGCCCGGCGAAAGCCGGAUUAAUACCGCAUACGACCUGAGGGUGAAAGCGGGGGAUCGCAAGACCUCGCGCUACUGGAGCGGCCGAUAUCAGAUUAGCUAGUUGGUGGGGUAAAGGCCUACCAAGGCAACGAUCUGUAGUUGGUCUGAGAGGACGACCAGCCACACUGGGACUGAGACACGGCCCAGACUCCUACGGGAGGCAGCAGUGGGGAAUUUUGGACAAUGGGCGCAAGCCUGAUCCAGCAAUGCCGCGUGCAGGAAGAAGGCCUCGG
This 390-nucleotide ribosomal RNA is filed under the name uncultured bacterium. RNAcentral describes it as "bacterial SSU rRNA". It matches the Rfam family "Bacterial small subunit ribosomal RNA", at positions 29 to 420 of the family's 1533-position model. The record is from RNAcentral.